GGCCUGACAAUUCCUCAGACUAGUGGAAGGAGACAGGGCAAUUUGGAAGUGGCAGGGAGCAGAGGCGAGGCUGCAGUGACAGGAACGUGGCGAGCGAGCAGAGCACAGGACGAGCUCAAAGCCACUGGCCCUUUGGAACACGCGCACGCGUGCACACACGCGCAUAGAAACCCACACUCGGGGGACAAGCUGAGGGAUGCCUGCUCGCAGCUGCAGGCAGACAUGUCACAGAUCCAACUGGCAUUUCUUCCUGAUAAUCUCAGCCGAGCAGCGAGUGACAGGGGGUCAUUGCAAGGAUUAAAUUCGUGAACGUGGGGCACCUGGGUGGUUCAGUGGUUAAGCGGCCGACUUCAGCUCGGGU
This is a long non-coding RNA of Lynx canadensis (Canada lynx), 361 nucleotides long. RefSeq lists it as uncharacterized. Lineage: Eukaryota; Metazoa; Chordata; Mammalia; Carnivora; Felidae. The record is from RefSeq and is a predicted model, not a curated record. The transcript is spliced from 3 exons.